GAUGAAGAACGCAGCAAAAUGCGAUAAGUAAUGUGAAUUGCAGAAUUCAGUGAAUCAUCGAAUCUUUGAACGCACAUUGCGCCCGCCAGUAUUCUGGCGGGCAUGCCUGUUCGAGCGUCAUUUCAACCCUCAAGCCCAGCUUGGUGUUGGGAGCUGCAGUCCUGCUGCACUCCCCAAAUACAUUGGCGGUCACGUCGAGCUUCCAUAGCGUAGUAAUUUACACAUCGUUACUGGUAAUCGUCGCGGCCACGCCGUUAAACCCCAACUUCUGAAUGUUGACCUCGGAUCAGGUAGGAAUACCCGCUGAACUUAAGCAUAUCAAUAAGCGGAGGA
RNAcentral lists this non-coding RNA (333 nucleotides) under Fusarium graminearum. RNAcentral describes it as "eukaryotic LSU rRNA". The stretch from base 1 to 120 matches the Rfam family "5.8S ribosomal RNA", at positions 35 to 154 of the family's 154-position model. The record is from RNAcentral. Lineage: Eukaryota; Fungi; Ascomycota; Sordariomycetes; Hypocreales; Nectriaceae. RNAcentral also lists the same sequence under 1 other name.